GCGGAUGAGGAGGAGCCACUUCAGGAUGGGGCUUAUGACUGUUCUGUGUCCUGACAGCAGUGAGCACGGCACAGCGGGCAGUAUUAGUCACAGCAGCUUGCAACUGAGUCAUUGUGGCCUGCCGAAUGACUUAACAGGUAAAAGAACUUGGGUCAGAACUCUUUCGUAAAGUAUUAUAAUUUAAUGAACUCUUCCUCUAAAUCUCUUUGACUCCUUAAAAAAAAGUGUGGUAUCAAAGCAUCUUUCAUAAGAAAAAUUUAAGCUGCAAUAGAAAGUAGUGAACAGUAUAUAGAUGCACACAUGGAAUAUUUUGAUUUUAUUUACAACAGAUUGGUAGUUGUAGGGAUUAUUCUUAACAGGAGGGAUUAUUUUGCCCCAAGCGAGCUUACUUUUUCACUACUUACAGCUUAUAUAUUUUCUGGUUUAGUGUGUGUCUAGACUGGUUUUGUUUUUGUGGGGUGGGUUGUUUGUUUUUAACUUUCUUUUAAAUAUGUGUUAAGGUGCUGUAGCUCAUCAGGUAACUGAGCUACUUGUUUGCUUCCUUGUAUAGAGUCAGCGGGACUCUGAUUGGUCCUUUGAAUCCUACUCUUGCACAGUGUGGGUCAGUGGACAGAGACCCUUUGGCUUUGGUACUCUGUUGACUAGCAGUCCUGAAUGACGGAAGCUAUUUACCUGUGAGUUAAUGUGCCUGUUUUAGCAAGCUUAAUUUCCUACUAGAUCAAUGUGGGCAGAGGGUGAGGGGGUUCUUAUCAAUUAUGCUGACACCACUAAAUUUUGUAUCAAAGAACUGUAUCUUUUUGUGAAUAUUCAUGUAAAUAUACUCAAAGGCACUGUCCAUAUUUUUAAUGCGUGUAUUAUAAUGUGUAAGGUUUUACGCUGGAUUCUGCAUGACUAUACUCACUCUUGGAAUAAAGACAAGACUUUUUCUUCUUUC
RNAcentral lists this long non-coding RNA (934 nucleotides) under Mus musculus (house mouse). RNAcentral describes it as "long non-coding RNA chr19:29604095-29605029". The record is from RNAcentral. Lineage: Eukaryota; Metazoa; Chordata; Mammalia; Rodentia; Muridae.